Molecule: small nuclear RNA, 150 nt
Organism: Cricetulus griseus (Chinese hamster)
Lineage: Eukaryota; Metazoa; Chordata; Mammalia; Rodentia; Cricetidae
Gene: U1
Rfam family: U1 spliceosomal RNA
About the family: U1 is a small nuclear RNA (snRNA) component of the spliceosome (involved in pre-mRNA splicing).
Source: Ensembl
UUACUUUCCUGGUAGGGGAGAUACCAUGAUCAAGAAGGUGGUUUUCAUAUAUUGUACUCUGGGUCUGCCAAACUCUGCGAUUUCCUCAAAUUACAGAAACUCAACUAUAAUUUGUGGUAUCUGGGAGAUGUGUUCUUGAUCUUCUCUGGU